CGGACCUUGCGCUAUUGGAUGAGCUAUGUCGGAUUAGUUAGUUGGUGGGGUAAAGGCCUACCAAGGCAGCGAUCCGUAGCUGGUCUUAGAGGAUGAUCAGCCACAUCGGGACUGAGACACCGGCCCGAACUCCUACGGGAGGCAGCAGUGGGGAAUAUUGCACAAUGGGCGCAAGCCUGAUGCAGCUAUGCCGCGUGUGUGAAGAAGGCCUUAGGGUUGUAAAGCACUUUCAGUAGUGAGGAAAAGUGUUGCGUUAAUAGCGCAAUGCUGUGACGUUAGCUACAGAAGAAGGACCGGCAAACUCCGUG
Molecule: ribosomal RNA, 308 nt
Filed under: uncultured bacterium
Lineage: Bacteria
Description: bacterial SSU rRNA
Rfam family: Bacterial small subunit ribosomal RNA
Source: RNAcentral